GACGAACGCUGGCGGCGUGCCUAAUACAUGCAAGUCGAGCGAAUCUGAGGGAGCUUGCUCCCAACGAUUAGCGGCGGACGGGUGAGUAACACGUGGGCAACCUGCCCCUAAGAUUGGGAUAACUCCGGGAAACCGGUGCUAAUACCGAAUAGUUUCUCGUACCACAUGGUACGAGAGGGAAAGUUGGCUUUUAGCUAACACUUAGGGAUGGGCCCGCGGCGCAUUAGCUAGUUGGUGAGGUAACGGCUCACCAAGGCAACGAUGCGUAGCCGACCUGAGAGGGUGAUCGGCCACACUGGGACUGAGACACGGCCCAGGACUCCUACGGGAGGCAG
This 335-nucleotide ribosomal RNA is filed under the name uncultured Bacillota bacterium. RNAcentral's name for it is "bacterial SSU rRNA". It matches the Rfam family "Bacterial small subunit ribosomal RNA", at positions 28 to 351 of the family's 1533-position model. The record is from RNAcentral. Lineage: Bacteria; Bacillati; Bacillota.